AACGCGAAGAACCUUACCAAGGUUUGACAUGGCCGGAAAACUCGCAGAGAUGCGGGGUCCUUCGGGGCCGGUCACAGGUGGUGCAUGGCUGUCGUCAGCUCGUGUCGUGAGAUGUUGGGUUAAGUCCCGCAACGAGCGCAACCCUCGUCCUAUGUUGCCAGCAAGUAAAGUUGGGGACUCAUGGGAGACUGCCGGGGUCAACUCGGAGGAAGGUGGGGAUGACGUCAAGUCAUCAUGCCCCUUAUGUUCAGGGCUACACACGUGCUACAUUGGCGCAUACAGAGGGCUGCGAUACCGCGAGGUGGAGCGAAUCCCUUAAAAGUGCGUCUCGGUUCGGAUUGCAGGCUGAAAUUCGCCUGCAUGAAGGCGGAGUUGCUAGUAAUCGCGGAUCAGCAUUGCCGCGGUGAAUACGUUCCCGGGCCUUGUACACACCGAGACGUA
RNAcentral lists this ribosomal RNA (441 nucleotides) under uncultured bacterium. RNAcentral describes it as "bacterial SSU rRNA". It matches the Rfam family "Bacterial small subunit ribosomal RNA", at positions 958 to 1398 of the family's 1533-position model. The record is from RNAcentral.